This 2774-nucleotide ribosomal RNA is filed under the name Escherichia albertii. RNAcentral describes it as "bacterial LSU rRNA". It matches the Rfam family "Bacterial large subunit ribosomal RNA". Lineage: Bacteria; Pseudomonadati; Pseudomonadota; Gammaproteobacteria; Enterobacterales; Enterobacteriaceae. The record is from RNAcentral.
AGCGUACACGGUGGAUGCCCUGGCAGUCAGAGGCGAUGAAGGACGUGCUAAUCUGCGAAAAGCGUCGGUAAGGUGAUAUGAACCGUUAUAACCGGCGAUGUCCGAAUGGGGAAACCCAGUGUGUUCCGACACACUAUCAUUAACUGAAUCCAUAGGUUAAUGAGGCGAACCGGGGGAACUGAAACAUCUAAGUACCCCGAGGAAAAGAAAUCAACCGAGAUUCCCCCAGUAGCGGCGAGCGAACGGGGAGGAGCCCAGAGCCUGAAUCAGUGUGUGUGUUAGUGGAAGCGUCUGGAAAGGCGUGCGAUACAGGGUGACAGCCCCGUACACAAAAAUGCACAUAUUGUGAGCUCGAUGAGUAGGGCGGGACACGUGGUAUCCUGUCUGAAUAUGGGGGGACCAUCCUCCAAGGCUAAAUACUCCUGACUGACCGAUAGUGAACCAGUACCGUGAGGGAAAGGCGAAAAGAACCCCGGCGAGGGGAGUGAAAAAGAACCUGAAACCGUGUACGUACAAGCAGUGGGAGCCCUGAUUUAUCAGGGUGACUGCGUACCUUUUGUAUAAUGGGUCAGCGACUUAUAUUCUGUAGCAAGGUUAACCGAAUAGGGGAGCCGGAGGGAAACCGAGUCUUAACUGGGCGUUAAGUUGCAGGGUAUAGACCCGAAACCCGGUGAUCUAGCCAUGGGCAGGUUGAAGGUUGGGUAACACUAACUGGAGGACCGAACCGACUAAUGUUGAAAAAUUAGCGGAUGACUUGUGGCUGGGGGUGAAAGGCCAAUCAAACCGGGAGAUAGCUGGUUCUCCCCGAAAGCUAUUUAGGUAGCGCCUCGUGAAUUCAUCUCCGGGGGUAGAGCACUGUUUCGGCAAGGGGGUCAUCCCGACUUACCAACCCGAUGCAAACUGCGAAUACCGGAGAAUGUUAUCACGGGAGACACACGGCGGGUGCUAACGUCCGUCGUGAAGAGGGAAACAACCCAGACCGCCAGCUAAGGUCCCAAAGUCAUGGUUAAGUGGGAAACGAUGUGGGAAGGCCCAGACAGCCAGGAUGUUGGCUUAGAAGCAGCCAUCAUUUAAAGAAAGCGUAAUAGCUCACUGGUCGAGUCGGCCUGCGCGGAAGAUGUAACGGGGCUAAACCAUGCACCGAAGCUGCGGCAGCGACGCUGAUGCGUUGUUGGGUAGGGGAGCGUUCUGUAAGCCUGUGAAGGUGUGCUGUGAGGCAUGCUGGAGGUAUCAGAAGUGCGAAUGCUGACAUAAGUAACGAUAAAGCGGGUGAAAAGCCCGCUCGCCGGAAGACCAAGGGUUCCUGUCCAACGUUAAUCGGGGCAGGGUGAGUCGACCCCUAAGGCGAGGCCGAAAGGCGUAGUCGAUGGGAAACAGGUUAAUAUUCCUGUACUUGGUGUUACUGCGAAGGGGGGACGGAGAAGGCUAUGUUGGCCGGGCGACGGUUGUCCCGGUUUAAGCGUGUAGGCUGGUUUUCCAGGCAAAUCCGGAGAAUCAAGGCUGAGGCGUGAUGACGAGGCACUACGGUGCUGAAGCAACAAAUGCCCUGCUUCCAGGAAAAGCCUCUAAGCAUCAGGUAACAUCAAAUCGUACCCCAAACCGACACAGGUGGUCAGGUAGAGAAUACCAAGGCGCUUGAGAGAACUCGGGUGAAGGAACUAGGCAAAAUGGUGCCGUAACUUCGGGAGAAGGCACGCUGAUGGUAGGUGAAGCGACUUGCUCGUGGAGCUGAAAUCAGUCGAAGAUACCAGCUGGCUGCAACUGUUUAUUAAAAACACAGCACUGUGCAAACACGAAAGUGGACGUAUACGGUGUGACGCCUGCCCGGUGCCGGAAGGUUAAUUGAUGGGGUCAGCGCAAGCGAAGCUCUUGAUCGAAGCCCCGGUAAACGGCGGCCGUAACUAUAACGGUCCUAAGGUAGCGAAAUUCCUUGUCGGGUAAGUUCCGACCUGCACGAAUGGCGUAAUGAUGGCCAGGCUGUCUCCACCCGAGACUCAGUGAAAUUGAACUCGCUGUGAAGAUGCAGUGUACCCGCGGCAAGACGGAAAGACCCCGUGAACCUUUACUAUAGCUUGACACUGAACACUGGUCCUUGAUGUGUAGGAUAGGUGGGAGGCUUUGAAGUGUGGACGCCAGUCUGCAUGGAGCCGUCCUUGAAAUACCACCCUUUAAUGGCUGGUGUUCUAACGUGGGCCCGUAAUCCGGGUUGCGGACAGUGUCUGGUGGGUAGUUUGACUGGGGCGGUCUCCUCCUAAAGAGUAACGGAGGAGCACGAAGGUUGGCUAAUCCUGGUCGGACAUCAGGAGGUUAGUGCAAUGGCAUAAGCCAGCUUGACUGCGAGCGUGACGGCGCGAGCAGGUGCGAAAGCAGGUCAUAGUGAUCCGGUGGUUCUGAAUGGAAGGGCCAUCGCUCAACGGAUAAAAGGUACUCCGGGGAUAACAGGCUGAUACCGCCCAAGAGUUCAUAUCGACGGCGGUGUUUGGCACCUCGAUGUCGGCUCAUCACAUCCUGGGGCUGAAGUAGGUCCCAAGGGUAUGGCUGUUCGCCAUUUAAAGUGGUACGCGAGCUGGGUUUAGAACGUCGUGAGACAGUUCGGUCCCUAUCUGCCGUGGGCGCUGGAGAACUGAGGGGGGCUGCUCCUAGUACGAGAGGACCGGAGUGGACGCAUCACUGGUGUUCGGGUUGUCAUGCCAAUGGCACUGCCCGGUAGCUAAAUGCGGAAGAGAUAAGUGCUGAAAGCAUCUAAGCACGAAACUUGCCCCGAGAUGAGUUCU